UUGGGUUGGUCAAAAAGUUUGUUUGGGUUUUUUCAUACUAUCUUAUGGAAAAAGAUAAAUGAACUUUUUGACCAACCCA
RNAcentral lists this microRNA precursor (79 nucleotides) under Ovis aries (sheep). RNAcentral describes it as "miRNA (ENSOARG00000023647.1)". The record is from RNAcentral. Lineage: Eukaryota; Metazoa; Chordata; Mammalia; Artiodactyla; Bovidae.